This 510-nucleotide ribosomal RNA is filed under the name uncultured bacterium. RNAcentral's name for it is "bacterial SSU rRNA". It matches the Rfam family "Bacterial small subunit ribosomal RNA", at positions 24 to 518 of the family's 1533-position model. The record is from RNAcentral.
UCAGAACGAACGCUGGCGGCGCGUCUUAAGCAUGCAAGUCGAGCGGUAAGAUAGAAGCUUGCCUUAUCCUAGAGCGGCGGACUGGUGAGUAACGCGUGGGUGACGUACCUCUGUGACGGGGACAGCUCCUAGAAAUAGGAGAUAAUACCGGAUAAUCUCUUGUGUGUCAGAGGCAUAAGAGGAAAGGAUCUUUUGAUUCGCACAGAGAGCGGCCCGCGUACUAUUAGCUAGUUGGUGAGGUAACGGCCCACCAAGGCGACGAUAGUUACCCGGCCUAAGAGGGUGAUCGGGCACAUUGGGGCUGAGAUACGGCCCAGACUCCUACGGGAGGCAGCAGCUAAGAAUAUUCCGCAAUGGGGGAAACCCUGACGGAGCGACGCCGCGUGGAUGAUGAAAGGCCGGAAGGUUGUAAAAUCCUUUUAUGACUGAGGAAUAAGACUGGUGAGAGAAACGCCAGUUGGUGACUGUAGGUCAUGAAUAAGCAACGGCUAAUUACGUGCCAGCCGCCGC